Molecule: long non-coding RNA, 322 nt
Filed under: Pelobates cultripes (western spadefoot toad)
Lineage: Eukaryota; Metazoa; Chordata; Amphibia; Anura; Pelobatidae
Source: RNAcentral
CUUGUAAGUAGGCAAUCUAGUAUAUUAUUAGUGACACUAAUCUAUAAUUUACCUCACAUUAAAGGGACACUAUAGCUUAAUGAAGUGGUUCUGGUGUCUAUAGCUGGUCCCUGCAGGCUUUUUAAUGUAAACACACUGUGUGCAGCACUGGCGUUAGUUCAUAUGGCAGAUCAUAUGGGUGGGGCAUUGUGAUGUGACAUGUGGGGGCAGCAAAUUUUUAUUUUGUCUAGGGCAGCAAAAAUCCUUGCACCGGCUCUGAUCCUGGGCAGGUGCACCAGUCUACUUGACUGGUUUUGCCCCCCAGGCCUAAGGCUGCCAGCCC